UACGAAGGGGGCUAGCGUUGUUCGGAUUUACUGGGCGUAAAGCGCACGUAGGCGGAUUGUUAAGUCAGGGGUGAAAUCCCGGAGCUCAACUCCGGAACUGCCUUUGAUACUGGCAAUCUUGAGAUUGGAAGAGGUUAGUGGAAUUCCCAGUGUAGAGGUGAAAUUCGUAGAUAUUGGGAAGAACACCAGUGGCGAAGGCGGCUAACUGGUCCAGUACUGACGCUGAGGUGCGAAAGCGUGGGGAGCAAACAGG
This 253-nucleotide ribosomal RNA is filed under the name uncultured bacterium. RNAcentral's name for it is "partial 16S ribosomal RNA". It matches the Rfam family "Bacterial small subunit ribosomal RNA", at positions 524 to 776 of the family's 1533-position model. The record is from RNAcentral.